This 394-nucleotide ribosomal RNA is filed under the name uncultured bacterium. Its description in RNAcentral is "partial 16S ribosomal RNA". It matches the Rfam family "Bacterial small subunit ribosomal RNA", at positions 523 to 918 of the family's 1533-position model. The record is from RNAcentral.
AUACGGAGGAUGCAAGCGUUAUCCGGAUUUAUUGGGUUUAAAGGGUGCGUAGGCGGGACUGUAAGUCAGGGGUGAAAUACUGCAGCUUAACUGUAGCAUUGCCUUUGAAACUGCCGUUCUUGAGUACAGUUGAGGUAGGCGGAAUGUGGUGUGUAGCGGUGAAAUGCAUAGAUAUACCACAGAACGCCGAUUGCGAAGGCAGCUUACUAAGCUGUUACUGACGCUGAGGCACGAAAGCGUGGGGAUCAAACAGGAUUAGAUACCCUGGUAGUCCACGCAGUAAACGAUGAUAACUAACCGCUGGGUCGUAGUGAUUCAGUGGCCAAGCGAAAGCGAUAAGUUAUCCACCUGGGGAGUACGACCGCAAGGUUGAAACUCAAAUGAAUUGGCGGGG